GGUGAGUAAUGCUUAGGAACAUGCCUUUGUGUGGGGGAUAACCAUUGGAAACGAUGGCUAAUACCGCAUGAUGUCUACGGACCAAAGGGGGCUUUCGGGCUCCCGCGCAAAGAGUGGCCUAAGUGAGAUUAGCUAGUUGGUGGGGUAAAGGCUCACCAAGGCGACGAUCUCUAGCUGUUCUGAGAGGAAGAUCAGCCACACUGGGACUGAGACACGGCCCAGACUCCUACGGGAGGCAGCAGUGGGGGAUAUUGCACAAUGGGGGAAACCCUGAUGCAGCCAUGCCGCGUGUGUGAAGAAGGCCUUCGGGUUGUAAAGCACUUUCAGUUGUGAGGAAAGGUUAGUAGUUAAUACCUGCUAGCUGUGACGUUAGCAACAGAAGAAGCACCGGCUAACUCCGUGCCAGCAGCCGCGGUAAUACGGAGGGUGCGAGCGUUAAUCGGAAUUACUGGGCGUAAAGCGCACGCAGGCGGUUUGUCAAGCUAGAUGUGAAAGCCCCGGGCUUAACCUGGGAAUUGCAUUUAGAACUGGCAGACUAGAGUCUUGGAGAGGGGAGUGGAAUUCCAGGUGUAGCGGUGAAAUGCGUAGAUAUCUGGAGGAACAUCAGUGGCGAAGGCGACUCCCUGGCCAAAGACUGACGCUCAUGUGCGAAAGUGUGGGUAGCGAACAGGAUUAGAUACCCUGGUAG
RNAcentral lists this ribosomal RNA (688 nucleotides) under uncultured Alteromonas sp. Its description in RNAcentral is "bacterial SSU rRNA". It matches the Rfam family "Bacterial small subunit ribosomal RNA", at positions 105 to 793 of the family's 1533-position model. Lineage: Bacteria; Pseudomonadati; Pseudomonadota; Gammaproteobacteria; Alteromonadales; Alteromonadaceae. The record is from RNAcentral.